CGAACGGGUGAGUACAACAUCGGAACGUAUCCUUUAGUGGGGGAUAGCCCGGCGAAAGCCGGAUUAAUACCGCAUGAUCUCUGAGGAGCAAAGCGGGGGAACCGUAAGGUCCUCGCGCUGUUGGAGCGGCCGAUGCCGGAUUAGCUUGUUGGUGGGGUAAGAGCCUACCAAGGCGACGAUCCGUAGCUGGUCUGAGAGGAUGAUCAGCCACACUGGAACUGAGACACGGUCCAG
Molecule: ribosomal RNA, 234 nt
Filed under: uncultured bacterium
Lineage: Bacteria
Description: partial 16S ribosomal RNA
Rfam family: Bacterial small subunit ribosomal RNA
Source: RNAcentral